UUUCUCCUCCUUAAAAUAACA
Molecule: non-coding RNA, 21 nt
Filed under: Caenorhabditis elegans
Lineage: Eukaryota; Metazoa; Nematoda; Chromadorea; Rhabditida; Rhabditidae
Source: RNAcentral